UGAGUAACCUGCCCUUAACUCUGGGAUAAGCCUGGGAAACUGGGUCUAAUACCGGAUAUGACUCCUCAUCGCAUGGGUGGGGGGUGGAAAGCUUUUUGUGGUUUUGGAUGGACUCGCGGCCUAUCAGCUUGUUGGUGAGGUAAUGGCUUACCAAGGCGACGACGGGUAGCCGGCCUGAGAGGGUGACCGGCCACACUGGGACUGAGACACGGCCCAGACUCCUACGGGAGGCAG
This 234-nucleotide ribosomal RNA is filed under the name uncultured bacterium. RNAcentral describes it as "partial 16S ribosomal RNA". It matches the Rfam family "Bacterial small subunit ribosomal RNA", at positions 118 to 351 of the family's 1533-position model. The record is from RNAcentral.